RNAcentral lists this non-coding RNA (23 nucleotides) under Arabidopsis thaliana (thale cress). The record is from RNAcentral. Lineage: Eukaryota; Viridiplantae; Streptophyta; Magnoliopsida; Brassicales; Brassicaceae.
UACAUUAUGUGGUUUCGGGUCUA